Molecule: long non-coding RNA, 986 nt
Filed under: Anser brachyrhynchus (Pink-footed goose)
Lineage: Eukaryota; Metazoa; Chordata; Aves; Anseriformes; Anatidae
Description: lncRNA (ENSABRG00000006527.1)
Source: RNAcentral
CUGGUCUGCAUCAAUACAUCUUCACUGAAGGCUGGGGAGCCCACCAAUUCUCAGUGCUGGCAUCUGCACUUUCAAGGGCAUCGACUUGACACUAUAUAAAUAUUAUAUGCUUUUCUUUCACUUUGUAGUUCAGAAUUGAUUCAUUCUAGAGUAGUUUCAGGGCUGAGCAUAACAUAAUUCAUCUCUAGUUGGCAUUUGUUUCUGAAUAACACCAAGCAUCCCUGCACCUCGUGUGAAGCUUCUAGGAAAAUGGUAAUGCAUCUUUUUCUUGCUCACAACACCACAACCCUACUUAUGACUUGCCCUCAGACAUCGCCUAGUCCAGCAACGUCACCUGUUCUUUGCCCUCUUCUCUCACUGCUUGUUUUUGUUUUCACCAGAAAUUUCUUGAUGUAAAAGCUGGUGCAGGCAGGAGAGAAGCAUAUAAAUACCUCCCUUGGUAAUGCUAUACCUGGCUGGGAGAGAAAACUGCUUGCAGCAGGACAAGCAGAUACCCAGCUGCAUGCUGGCUGCAGGUGUGGGUCCAGCACCAAGAGAAUAAUCGAUUGAUGGCUGAGAUAACAAUGACUUUUUUUCCAUGGAGAGCCAGGAGCUGGGAUUUCAGUCUCCAACCUCGCUCAGGACAGAGCAGGAUCUGCGUGUGGAAGGAUCUAGAGUGCAAUUACUGGCUGCUUUUCAUCCUGAUUAGUGAAGCAUCCCUGGCCUGCCUAUUGCUGCGCUGACCACAGGAGGGUGGUGGAAGAGGCAGAAACCCUUUUUUCUCUGAGGCUGAGCAAAAGAGACACAGGAUAUGACAUCUGCUGAGUCUCCAGGUGGCUGGUUGGUGUUCUGCUCGGGGUCAAAUUGCUCACCAGCUUGCACAUCAGUCACUGGGAACCCCUUCCCCUCCCUGAGCUCUGCGUGGUCGCUGCAUUCAGCUGUGCAGGAACGGUGUAUCUGACAGCACUCAAAGGUUUAAUAAAUGUUUGCUCUGCUUUGUGUUAGCA